This is a long non-coding RNA of Oryzias melastigma (Indian medaka), 2708 nucleotides long. RefSeq lists it as uncharacterized. The record is from RefSeq and is a predicted model, not a curated record. Lineage: Eukaryota; Metazoa; Chordata; Actinopteri; Beloniformes; Adrianichthyidae. The transcript has 2 exons.
GAUGGAUGAUGGAUGAUCAAUGAUGGAUGAUGGAUGAUCAAUGAUGGAAUAUGGAUGGAUGGAUGGAUGAUCAAUGAUGGAUGAUGGAUGGAUGGAUCUCUCAGAGGAUAAAUUGGACGUCACUGUUAUCCUGAAUCUGAGUGGAUCAAUCCUCUCAGAUGUUCUGAUCUUCAGUCCAGAUAUCAGGACUCUGAGGACUGGGUGGAUGUUUUUGUUGUACACAGUAAAACUGUAUUUAACCUUCAGUUGACUUUAGUAAUUUCUACAUCUUUGUCCUUCUGUGUUUCUCUGUUUGAACCGUUCCUCAUUUGAUCCCAUGAAUGAGGAUGAAGAAGAAGAACCGGGUCUCUGGAGUUCUGUGACAGCAGCUUGUUGCACAGCAUCACCUGUCACACGAGUCCGUCUGUAAUCAGUCAGAAGUUUGACUUCUGUUGGUUUGUACUCACGUUCUUGUAAAAACAUCGUUUUCCUCACUUUACCACACUCAGCUGACUUUCAGAACCAAAGUAGGUCCGACCAGAACAUCUGCUCCACAGCUCAGAAAAGCCAAAUCAGGAAUUCUUCAUAUCAAGUUUGUUGAAAGUUUUUCUUGAGGUUCUGCUCACAAAGUUCCCCUGAAAAACAGAAGCAGACCUGGAGAUCCUGCAGGAGCGCCGCUUGAAGCUCCAAAGCAGAUGUGUCUUCAGAUGGGAGGAGCUUCUCCGCUGUGACCUUGACAGGAUCUCGGAUCAGAUUUUACAAGACUGGAUUCUUCCUCUGCCUUUCCAAAGCUCCUUCAUGCUGCGUUUAGGGGCGUAUGUGACCCGUCCUCGCUCCUGUUCUCCAUUCAUAGUGACCCCCCCCCCCAAUGUUUGAUUGACAUCCAGGUUUGUUUCCUCAGGUAAUCCAGUACAUUCAUGUGACAGCUCACCUGGACUCUGGUUCGGAUCAGAAGAGCUGGUCUUUGAUUCUCGUCGGUUCUCCUCAGGAUGAUCGAUUAAAGGGAAUAAAUGACUUAAGCCCCGCCUUUUUAUGUAGCAAAAAAUAAACCACAGCAAAGUUUGAAAAUGUUUACCAGGAUAAACCUGGAUUAACAGAGUUUAGCAAAAAACAAAAAAAAAAAACAAUUUUUCUUGUUUAUUCUGUUUUUUCUACAUCUCGGUGCAGCAACAGCGACCCCAAGUGGGAAGCAUUGGAACUGCAGGACUUUUCUGAGCAGUUCGAACCGCUUCAGUCUGUGUCGCAUGUGAAAGCAAACAAACCUGAUGAAGGUGUGACCUCGAGGAAUGUUCUCCAGACACUUGAACUGAUCCCAUGAGACCAUCCUGGUGUGGAAACAAUCAGAGCUGCAGAACUUCUGGUCUCAUCCAACCAAAUCUGGAUUGAGAUUAGAAUUCUUCCUCACAGAGUUUGGCUCAACUUUUAACCCUGUACAACCAUUUGUAUCAUAUUACACGAGACCCCUGUCUCAUCAGCAUUAUCAAAACUUUAUUAAAAACCCAUUUAGAUGACUUGGUCCAGGGUCUCUGCCGUGCAGUUCAUCGUCACUCCACUAGGGGCAGUCGAAGUGCUCGUUUCAAAAUGGCUGCCCCCAUGACAUCUAAAAAACACUUUUGGCGGGAAAAUGUUUGCUAAUUUUCAACAAUUUAGGCUGAGAUUAGCUCAUCUAUUGUUGAUCAGUUUUCUAAAUGACAACUUGCUGUAUUGAAAAAAUGCAAAACGUGUUAAUAAUUACUCAUAAGAUGGUUCCACAAUGUUAACAAUGUGUGGAUCAAAGUGAGACGACAGCUAAAUAAGGUCGUUUUUUUCCUGAGCAAUAUUUUUUUGCCAAGUCACACAUUGUAUCAUGAUUUAUAUUUAAAUAUCAUUAAAAAACUUGAAUUUUCUGUCAAGUCAUUGAUUGGUGGGCUUUACAGGUUAGAGUUCACGGAUCAAAUGUUGGACAGAAAAGUUUUCUCUUUUCCAACUAUUAGCAGUGAUUUUACAAAAACACAAGUUCAUAAAAAAGUGAAAAACUCUGAGACUGAAAUAUCUCUGUACCUUUAGCCCCGCCCCCAAAGUUUAGUCCUAGAGACUCUUUUCUUCAGUACAUACAGUUUAUUUUCAGACUCAGUUUGAGCUACUGAACUUUCAAAUGGGUUUCCUCGUCAUUUGGACUCAGAGGUCAAAAGCAAAUCUGCUCUACAAACUACAGCUGCUGGUUCUUCAUCAGAUCAGCAGCUUCCUGACACACUUUUUGCCGCCAUUUUUCAACUUUCUUUGGGAAAUCCGGUCAACACAAUGAGUGUUUCCUGUAGAAUCUCACCCGUCCACACACAAACACACAUUUGCUUUGUCCGACUUCACACUUUUCCUAUAAGCAAACUCAGCAGCAAAAAGAAAGUUUAAAAAUGCGACCGUCCCCGCAGCGCGGCUCCAUCUGUAAGGACUAGUUCCCACAAUACCUGUAUAUGAAAACGUGCACACACACACACACACACACUGAUCCUGACCUUAUGUUCUCUCUGAUCCAGCCUCUAACUCCUGGAUUUAUGACUAAAUGGACCUUCAGACCUGGAUCUGUCUCACACUGAUGCCAUUAGCUCACAGCAGCAGCGUAAUAGCUCCCUCUACUGUUCACUUUGUCACAUUGCAGAAGCUUUGAAUUCCCAAACUUAUUCCUGUAAAUCUCACGACACCUUUCACUGCAUUUAAUGAUUAUGUUGAUUUAAAAAAAAAGAAGAAAAAAA